RNAcentral lists this ribosomal RNA (254 nucleotides) under uncultured bacterium. RNAcentral's name for it is "partial 16S ribosomal RNA". It matches the Rfam family "Bacterial small subunit ribosomal RNA", at positions 524 to 776 of the family's 1533-position model. The record is from RNAcentral.
UACGGAGGGGGCUAGCGUUAUUCGGAAUCACUGGGCUUAAAGGGCGCGUAGGCGGCCGAGCGGGUCGUGGGUGAAAUCCCCCAGCUUAACUGGGGAACUGCUUACGAUACCACUGCGGCUCGAGGAAGGAAGGGGCAAUUGGAACUGUCGGUGGAGCGGUGAAAUGCGUUGAUAUCGACAGGAACGCCUGUGGCGAAAGCGAAUUGCUGGUCCUUUUCUGACGCUGAGGCGCGAAAGCCAGGGGAGCAAACGGG